RNAcentral lists this ribosomal RNA (252 nucleotides) under uncultured bacterium. Its description in RNAcentral is "partial 16S ribosomal RNA". It matches the Rfam family "Bacterial small subunit ribosomal RNA", at positions 524 to 776 of the family's 1533-position model. The record is from RNAcentral.
UACGUAGGGUGCGAGCGUUAAUCGGAAUUACUGGGCGUAAAGCGUGCGCAGGCGGUUCUCAAGUCCGUUGUGAAAGCCCCGGGCUCAAACUGGGAAUGGCAGUGGAAACUAGGGGACUGGAAUCUGGCAGAGGGGGGUGGAAUGCCGCGUGUAGCAGUGAAAUGCGUAGAGAUGCGGCGGAACACCUAUGGCGAAGGCAGCCCCCUGGGCUGAGAUUGACGCUCAGGCACGAAAGCGUGGGGAUCAAACAGG